UUUCUUUCUUAGUGUCAGACCUGUAGAAAAGAGCCGGAUUAAUUUGGAUAAAUGGAUUUAAGAUGCUAAGAUCCAGUUUAAUUGCUAAUUUGUAUGCACAGAUUCAGUAAAUAACAAAAAGAGUACAACCUGGAGCGUAGCACGGGUUACUUCCUAGUCUUACAGAAAGGAAUUCUUUAAUGGAGUUCUCUCUCAAGUCUCAACAGGGGAUCAAAAUUGAAGAAGAAGAAGAAGUAGUGUGUAGAAGAAGAUAACAUGAGAAGAAGAAAGAACUGAAUCAAAAAUGGGUAAUAAGAUAGCAAGAACAACACAAGUAUCAGCAUCAGAGUAUCAUCUACAUGAUUUACCAUUUUCAUAUAAUUUAGUAGAUGUAUUAGCUCGUGGUCGUUUUUUCCAAUCAAUUCAAUGUAAACAUGAUGAAGGUCUUGUUCUUGUUAAAGUUUACUGCAAACGUGGUGAUUCUAUUGAUUUGAAAGAAUAUGAGCGUCGUUUGUUUCAAAUUAGAGAUGUUUUUAGGUCUCUUCAACAUCCUCAUGUUUAGCCUUUCCAAUUACUGUUUGCAGUGAAGCAGAGUCAUGAAAAUGGUGUUUGCCAUGGUGUGGAAGGAUUGAUGGUGAUAUAAAAUGUGAGAAUGUAUUGGUUACGUCUUGGAAUUGGCUUUAUCUUGCUGAUUUUGAUCGUUUAAACCCACUUAUAUACCACAUGACUACCCUUCGGAUUUCUCUUUUUUCUUUGACACUGGUGGGCGGAGGAGAUGCUAUCUUGCUCCCGAGAGAUUUUAUGAGCAUGGUGGUGAGGGGCAAGUCACACCAGAUGCACCUUUGAGUCAUUCUAUGGAUAUCUUCUCUUUAGGAUGUGUUAUACCAGAGCUAUUCCUUGAGGGACAACCUUUGUUUGAGCUAUCCAAGCUACUUGCUUACCGAAGAGGACAAUAUGAUCCCAGCCAAUCCCUUGAGAAGAUCCCAGAUUCUGGAAUCCGCAAGAUGAUUCUUCAUAUGAUUCAGUUGGAUCCUAAAUCACGACUAUCUGAUGAUUCUUUCCGUGUUACUUCUCUCCAUUUCUUCAUAAUUUUCUUUUCCUGCUUCAUUCCCCUUGAUUCUGAUACGAGGGUUGCAGUGACACAGAGUGCUUUUCAUGAUAUACAUAAGCAAAUGAAGAACAAUAGAUUAAAUGUAGAGAUAAGGGGUGGAAUAUCGCGCACAUGCUCUCUCUCAGAAAGUGAGCGUUCUCCCCAAGUGAUGGAGGGUGGAAACCUUAUCUUGAAUUCACCAAAGGAGUCCUCAAAAAAGAAGGGAGAGCUAGAUUAAGGUUUGUUUGGUAAUCAGUUUCAACUACUUGGUGAUAUUUCGACCCUUAUUAAGGAUGUAGAACAAAGAAAUCAUUCUUCCAAUGCCGUUCCAUGCUUGAAAAUGCGAGAUCCACAUAUGCUUCAGUUCUCAGGCGCUCCGGUAAGCAUUCUCCAACUAAGAUUCUCAACACUAAAUCGAAGGAGUUUCAAGGUAGUGAUCAUCCUGUUCUGAAAAAGAUCACCAAGGGUGAUUUGAAGGAAUUAUCCUUGAAGUAUGACAGCCAGUCGGAUACCUUCUUAAUUCCUUCUAUCCCAGUACUCGAACAUAGUUUGAGCUGUGACGAUAUGGUUCUUAUUGCAUCGUUGCUAUGUUCAUGCUAUAGAUGAUACCUAACAGCCCAGACUGGAUCCUUUCCUGCAUCUCACACGCAAGGCUUCAUUGGAUUUCUCGGACUCUUGAUGUUUGUUUGUGCGUUUGUUACCACUGGGGUUUCUGCCCCCACUGUUUGCCAGACAAAAUAUUUCAUCAAAAUUAACCAAAGAAUCAAUGCAACUCAACAGUAAAAUGAAAUAGCAUAUGAGCAAACUGAUCAACACUAAUACAUAAAGCAAGUAUAAAAGGCCGAUAGUUUAAAACUUCAACCUUCCUGUGUAGCCUCUCACAUCAUCUGCAUUUCCUCCAGAUAGAGCGAUGGCCCAUUUAUAAUUGCAUUUGAUGAAUGGAAAUGUUAAAAACAGUAUUGAGAUUUAGGGUUACCUCAUUGGAUUGGAGUCAGAAAAGUAUAUAUCUUGUUGUUAAGCAAAAGCACCAGCAGAAAUAUUCAAGACACUACUGUAUUGCAAAUGAUUGUUUUCAGUCGUAUGAUCAGACGAGUGGAUUAUCCGAAGGUUUUUCAUUUCUAGCAGAUUUCAUUUUUUCUUAAUGGGAUGUUGGAUAGAGAACUAUACGAGGACUAGGAGGAUAAGGGUUAGACACUUCCAGGGGCAGUACAGUAAAUUCGACGUCGAAUUUAGGAGAGGGGCGGAGAAUUUGAGAGUAAAUUUUAAAGAUGAUGAAGAUUGAAGAUAGCAGAGGAAAAUGAAAUGUGAAUUCAAUAAUCUAGAUUUUGAGUAGCUUUAUAGUGGAUCGGAUCCAGUUAUUUUUUAAAUCAUUGUGAUGUUUCAUUGAAACAUUGCGACUCUUCGGAAUUUUUUAACACAUUCAAAUCCUUAGUAUAACCAUGGCAUUGUAUCCAUAGAAAAUAUUACUCAAAGUUUUGUGCACCUUACAAAAGACUACAGCAACUCCAACAAAAUGUAGUAUCAUGCCUUGUCAUUUCUUACUCUAAUUUUCGAAUUUUGAUUUAUUCCUUUUUCAAAACCCAAAAUUUGUUUUGUGUUGUUUGUAAUCCGUUGUGGUGAUUAGUUGGAUGAAAGUGAAAGACUGAUAGGAUCCUGAUACUGGUGUUAGUAUCCCAACAAAGAAAAGGGAUCCAAGUCUUUUUAGACAAUGCUGCUCCACUACUUGUUCAAUGUCACGUAAAGGUACGUGCACUAAUCAGACUCCGUGUGGUAAUAAUUUUUUGCUGAAAAUGCUUUGAGAAAUGGGCAAGACAAAGGUAAAGAAUGUGUCAAGUUCGGCAAACAAUCUGAGGAUUAACUCAGCCCUCGUUGUUGCAAUACGUGUGCAAAGGUAGCACAGUAAAACUGGUUCAAGGGAGACUGAGGAGACAGUCUAUGAACAUGUUCAUAAUCAGAAUAAACCAGAUAACGCUUAUACAACAUAGCGGGCAAAGAAAUCUGGAAAGGCCAAUGCUUGCAGUGGAAAGAUCUUUGUCACAGUCCCACACUGGAUGGAAGCUACUCAAAAUCUAGAUUAUUGAAUUCACAUUUCAUUUUCCUCUGCUAUCUUCAAUCUUCAUCAUCUUGAUAUCUUUAAAAUUUACUCUCAAAUUCUCCGCCCCUCUCCUAAAUUCAACGUCGAAUUUACUGUACUGCCCCUGGAGGUGUCUAACCCUUAUCCUCCUCGUAUAGUUCUCUAUCCAACAUCCCAUUAAGAAAAAAUGAAAUCUGCUAGAAAUGAAAAACCUUCGGAUAAUCCACUCGUCUGAUCAUACGACUGAAAACAAUCAUUUGCAAUACAGUAGUGUCUUGAAUAUUUCUGCUGGUGCUUUUGCUUAACAACAAGAUAUAUACUUUUCUGACUCCAAUCCAAUGAGAAAUCAAACAAAAAUCGUCAGAAAUGCAUGCUAUGCUAUCAUGGGUAGAGUUUAAAUUACUGGCUUGUUCCCCCCCUAGAGUGUGUGUUGGUGGUCUUUAUCUAGCUUGGGAAAACAGUGAGUUAAUUAUAGUGAUUUCUGGAUUCUAACAUGUUUUUAUGGUGGCCCGUUUAGAGAUUUUAAAUAUGAUUCCAAUAAAUUGAUUAAACAAAUGGCUAGUUGCAUCAUCAAACCUUGGUUAAUUGUAGGUGAUUGUAAUUUUGUGCCUUUGGAAGAAGAAAAACAGAACCAACACCUUUUAAAUUCUGUUGAGGCAGAUGUGUUCAACCUUGGUUUACUUGAC
Papaver somniferum (opium poppy) is the source of this 3829-nucleotide long non-coding RNA. RefSeq lists it as uncharacterized. The record is from RefSeq and is a predicted model, not a curated record. NCBI's taxonomy places the organism in Eukaryota, Viridiplantae, Streptophyta, Magnoliopsida, Ranunculales, Papaveraceae. The transcript has 9 exons.